Molecule: ribosomal RNA, 374 nt
Filed under: uncultured eukaryote
Lineage: Eukaryota
Description: partial 18S ribosomal RNA
Rfam family: Eukaryotic small subunit ribosomal RNA
Source: RNAcentral
CAAUAGCGUAUAUUUAAGUUGUUGCAGUUAAAAAGCUCGUAGUUGGAUUUCGGUUAAGAGCGACCGGUCCGCCGUUUGGUGUGCACUGGUUGGUUUUAACUUCCUGUAGAGGACGUGCUCUGGGUUUAACGACCUGGACUCGGAGUCUACGUGGUUACUUUGAAAAAAUUAGAGUGUUCAAAGCGGGCUUACGCUUGAAUAUUUCAGCAUGGAAUAACACUAUAGGACUCCUGUCCUAUUUCGUUGGUCUCGGGACGGGAGUAAUGAUUAAGAGGAACAGUUGGGGGCAUUCGUAUUUCAUUGUCAGAGGUGAAAUUCUUGGAUUUAUGAAAGACGAACUUCUGCGAAAGCGUUUGCCAAGGAUGUUUNCAUUA